CUGCGCAGCUUACACAUGCAGUCGAACGGUCUCUUCGGAGAUAGUGGCGGACGGGUGAGUAACGCGUGAGAAUCUAGCUUCAGGUCGGGGACAACCACUGGAAACGGUGGCUAAUACCGGAUGUGCCGAAAGGUGAAAGAUUUAUUGCCUGAAGAUGAGCUCGCGUCUGAUUAGCUAGUUGGUGUGGUAAGAGCGCACCAAGGCGACGAUCAGUAGCUGGUCUGAGAGGAUGAUCAGCCACACUGGGACUGAGACACGGCCCAGACUCCUACGGGAGGCAGCAGUGGGGAAUUUUCCGCAAUGGGCGAAAGCCUGACGGAGCAAUACCGCGUGAGGGAGGAAGGCUCUUGGGUUGUAAACCUCUUUUCUCAGGGAAUAAAAAAAUGAAGGUACCUGAGGAAUAAGCAUCGGCUAACUCCGUGCCAGCAGCCGCGGUAAUACGGAGGAUGCAAGCGUUAUCCGGAAUGAUUGGGCGUAAAGCGUCCGCAGGUGGCACUGUAAGUCUGCUGUUAAAGAGCAAGGCUCAACCUUGUAAAGGCAGUGGAAACUACAGAGCUAGAGUACGUUCGGGGCAGAGGGAAUUCCUGGUGUAGCGGUGAAAUGCGUAGAAAUA
Molecule: ribosomal RNA, 613 nt
Filed under: Trichormus sp. MACC 246
Lineage: Bacteria; Bacillati; Cyanobacteriota; Cyanophyceae; Nostocales; Nostocaceae
Description: bacterial SSU rRNA
Rfam family: Bacterial small subunit ribosomal RNA
Source: RNAcentral